AUGCGAGGCUGGGGCCGGUUGCCUACCGGCCGCUUCUCGCCGAGGCAGUCCAGACUUUUCCCCCGGCGGUGCCCGCUCCAAGACAGCAUCUGUCAACGCUCCUCUUCUCCCCUCCUCCUCCUGCCGGGCCGGGCUCCGCCGGCUGCGGCCGAGAGGACGCGGGACCCGGCGCGGUGAGCCCAUCAGCUGUCAGGCGAGCGGCGAAGCGGCUGGAGGGCGGCGAGAGACACACAAAGAACGCGGUGGGCGGCGGCGGCGAAAGGGGACGGCAACUCCUCCCCGCGCCCGCCGGUGCCACCGCCGGCCGUGCUUGUUCCGAGGCCGCGCAGACAAUGCGGCCGGGCUCGUCCCCGCGUGCCCCAGAGUGCGGAGCGCCCGCGCUCCCCCGACCCCAACUUGACCGUCUCCCGGCUCGCCCAGCCCCCUCCCGGGGUAGGGGCGCCCCCUCCCUCCGGUGGCCGGCGAAGGAAGUCGGUCCGCGGCCGCAGAUCCCGGCAACUUGCGAACCGGGAAAAGUUUGCGGCGCCUCCGCGGGGCGGCGCGACGCGGCCCGCCCCUCGCGUCCGCGGUCAUCGCGGGUGACUUUCUCGACUCGUCGUCAGCCGGGGCCGCAGCGCGGCCGGUGGGGACUGCGGGGCGGGCCGGAGUCCGUCCGAGGGCUCCCGCACCUCGGGCUGCGGCACCAGACAUGUUGGCAUCAUCUCUUAGUUGGGCCAUGUGGCCAGGGAACCCUUCAUGAAACCACCUCUGCAGUCCUGGAGAGUUGCUGUAGAAGAAGGAAAAGAGAGGAAGACAACACAACACAGGAGGGGAUAAGUACCUCUGGACACAAUGGAAGUAGUAGUUGUUGAGCAGAGGGAAAGGGAUAGGAGAAGGAUGUGGACUGCAGUGCUGCAGUGCCAGGUAAUAACUUUGAUCAUGUACCUCCUUGGCUCAGGUGCUGUCUCUUCUACUCUCCUCCUUACUUGUACUACCUUAUUUAGCACUUAAUUAUAUACUUUCUUGACUCACUUUGAGACACACUGAUUAUGUGGUCUGCCUCAAAGACAGAAUCCUAGUUUUGGAUUUUAGCAUUACUGAUCUAUAGCCUUGCAGGGGCUUAAGGAUGGCAGCUGUCUCUCUCCCUUGGGAUCUAGCUUUUGCAAAUAUUGAAGGGAAGAGAUUUCUUUGAUCUUAUAGGAAUAGAUCCACAGUUCCUCUCCAGAUUUGCUUUUAUAGAGAAGUGUGUGUCACCAAAACAAUGGAGAUACGGUCAGAGAGGCCCCUACCCCCAGAAUUUUAAUAUAAUUUUACUUUCUGGGGCAUUUAUUCUUGACAAAUACUUUCUCUCCUAUCAGCUCACUUGUUCCUCACAAAAACCCUAUAAGAUAUUAAUAUUAUUAAACAGACCCCUAUGAAGCACCUCAAGUCUUUCUCUCUUCCCACUUCCAUUCUUGCACACCUUUUGCUAGACUAGUCUCUGCGUUCAUCACAUCAGGUUUCUAAAAUAAAAGUCCCCUAAUAACUUUCUAUUUGUUCUCUCAUCAUAUUGAACCUUUUUUGCCUGGCUUAUAAGGUGGCCUUAAAACCCCAUUUUCCUCUAAACAUUGUCUCUGUAGUUCAGGAAUAUGGCAGGCUCAACACUAUGCUUGAGCCCAUAUUGCUUCCCUCAUUAGUGAUGCCUCCUCUCAGACCACCCAGAUUCUACUCAUUCUUCAAUUUCCAGCUUCUCCUUGGAGCCUUCCCAGAUCAUUAGCUUCUUAAAAAUCCCAGCUUUCUCUGAAUUCUGAUGGUAGCCCCCGUUAUUUGGACAAUUAUGUCCUGGUCUUAAAGUCCUAAUGGGAAAAAAAAGUACAUGAUGGACUUCAUGUAGAGAAGAAAGCACUGGACUGAGUUUUAAGACAGCUGCUAAGGAGCUGUGUGAGCCAAACCAGGUUACUUUACCUCUCUGGAUCUAUAUUUGCUGAUCUGUUAAGUGGAGACAAUUGGGUCAGAUAAUCUUGGUGGUCUUUGCUUAUUCUGAGGUUCUUGGACAACUUGGCCUAGUUCACGUGGGAUGGGAUUGAAGAUCUUACUGAGUUCUUGGAUGGAAAUGUCAGUAAUGGGCACUUAGUGCCUUCAGGACUUGUUCUAUACUAUCCCAGAAAUUUCUGAUGCUAAACUUGGCAAUUUUUAAAUGUCAUAUUCCUUUUCUCCAAACUCUUUAACCACAAGAAUUCAGGGAAGGUUAUGGGGGGUGACUUAGUUAUCUGGAUAAUACAUAUUGUGGACAAUAUAGCAUUAUCCUUGGGAAUGAUUUCAUAUUGUUGAAUAAAUAGGAUCAACUUCUUGAUAAACCUUAGUCCCAAGCAUUUCAUCUUCAUUGGAUAGUGUUACAUAGUAAUAUAUUUAUGUUUUCUUUUAAUCAUUUCAUAACUUGGAAAAUACUAACAUAGUCAAAACUCUAGGGUAGGUGAUACAUGAGUUUCUGUAGUAAUCUGGUUGGAGACAUGUUGUAAUUCUGUAUAUAUAUGUACAUUUAUCCCAUGCAUGUUAUGCCUAAACUAAGACGGAUACCCCUGAAUUAAGAGGUGCUGUUAUACAUUGACCAGGCUUAAGAAUAUCUCUUUAAAGUGUGUCGACAUUUAAUUGACCUUUGGAAGUUCAUUCUGUUAAUCAUACUCAAAGUGCUAAAGCUAUGGUUGACUGCUCUGGUGUUUUUAUAUUCAUUCGUGCUUUAGCAUAUAAAUUCUUCAGCAUAAUUGCUACUUAUUUAGCAAGAGUUUCCUUUAUUUGAAAAUGUGAGUUGUGCUUGUAUUUUUGUGUCUUUCUUUCUUUCUUUCUUUUUUUAAACUUUGCUUCAGGCUGGGUAGUGGUAGAGGUUUGAAUUAAAAUGUUUUCCUGUCAGUAGUUGUAUGAGGUGUGGCUUCUUAAUCUAGAAGUAAUGGAAAUUUCUUGCUUAAAUGAAGUGCACUUUUCUUCCUGCAGAAGUUAGAACUCUUUUAGACAAGCUUAACACUUCAAAACUGUAUAUCUUUAACAGAAACUUUUGGAAAUUUUUAAAUUCCAUUUGUGUAGAUUAAAAAUAUCAAUGCUAAUACUUUCUAUUAAAUAAGGAUUUAUCUAUUUUCAUAAAACCUCUAAUUAUAUUCCUUGAAUUGCUAUGAGUAGAAUUUUGUUGUAAACACAAUAUUUUUAAAAAGUCAAAUAUAUUUUAAAAAUCUUAACAUUAUAUUACUAUAACUUAGAGAACAGGUGUUUACAUGUUUAAAAUUUUCUAGGCCUUAAAUUUGUGAAAUCAGUCUUUCAGAAGUUAUUUUUAAUAUAGUUAUCUGUGUUACAGGUUUAUAAGUUGACAUUUCAAUUUAAAAUUUUUUCAAUUUAUAUUUCAAUGACCAGGAAAAAAUAGUUAAACUUAUUCCUAAAUUUUAAUAGAAAAAUAAAAAACCACAUAGUUGUUAAUUUCUGGUAAUUUAUCUUGAGACUCCAGGCAUGUUUUUAGAACAUUUUUACCUUAAAAGCAAUUUUGAAAUAGGGAAAUUAAAGUUUAAAGCAGAGUUUUCACUUUAAUGAGGUAAUUUUAUACUUCCCAGAUAGGUAGGCCCAUAUUCAAGAACACUCUGAUCUCUGUUUAUAGUAAGUUUUGAUGCCAUUAUAUCAUUUACUUAUUCACGCAUUAUAAGCAUAGUAGAUAGCCCCAUUGUCACGAAGCUGGCAUUAUUUUCUUGUCUGUCAUUCAAUAUUGUCCCCUUUUUUUUUUCUGUUUUCAUCAUAGCCGUCCUUUUCAUUUUAUUGUAGCCCUGACUCGAAAUGAAAGUAAGUUUGAACUCUUAAAAAAGAGUUCCUCAAACUCUUUUUUAAGAAUAUACAGUGAAAUGUCUUAAAUAAUAUUAUCUAAAUAAUACCUAAAGAAUGCAAAUGACUUGCAAUGCUGAAUAGUCAGACACAGGAUGUUCCAUGCUAAGGGUAGACUCAUAUUUCCACUUUAUAAAAUGUGGUUUCAGAAAACAAAUAGAUGUGUUUCUUCCUUAAUAAUUAGUGUUUCAGGACCAAAGUUGACUAAAUAUGGAAGUUUAAGAUAAAACCCGGUUUCUUAGGGAAUCUUUCUCAGUCCUUAGUAAUUCUGUAGAAUUGAUGAUAGAGUGGCAACUUCAAUACACUCAGUAUUCUUUUCUGUUUGAAGUCUGUUUUGCCAUUGGAAAAAACUUAUUGUUGUUUGAAUUUGGGUAUAUGUAUUCACAGAUGGUUUACUUUAUUUUUAUUUUGUUUAAACAAAUACUUUCAUGUCCCAAACACUGAGACAUGUUUCAUGUCCUAAACACUUUAUAAAUAUUAGAAUAUUUAAUCCCCUUAACUCUGUAGUUAUAAUUAUCUUCAUUUUACAAUUGAGAAAACUAAGAUACGACGUUUUAUUUAAUGGUAACGCCUUAAGUAAGGGGAGAGUGAUAAGUGUAAGCAGAGUGGAAAACUUAGUAGUGCUAAGGAGCAACAGAAGUAUGUGCAAGAGUUUGGGAAGAUGUGUCUGCUUGGAAAGGAUCAGGGACUCAGCUGGGAUCAGUCUUAAAGAGCAACAUGUCCUCAUUCCUCAAUUUUAAGCCUUUGGGCUCUAGAAGUAAAGGGCAAACUUAGAGGAGGCACUCCUCAGGUUUCAGCUGCCUGUUCCGGCCUGGUGAGGUGGCUGUACUGGCUCAUGUGUUUCUCAUAGGGCUACAUGAGCCUUUAUGUCUUACCUCCUCCUCAUUUCUUGGCUGACUCCUGCUUUUUUGGAGGGUUUAACUUCUCUCUCAGCUAGAAGGUUAGGCAUUGCAAAUACCAGUGGAUAAUUUUUUUCUUAGCUUUAACCCCAGCCCAUUUCAACCCCCUCUUUGCCCUUUGUAUAUUCUUUUGAAAAUAUGAUCCAGUAGUGUUUAUGAAUGUGUGUUGUGUAAAAUUUAGAGAUUGAUGUUAAACAACAGAAUUAAAGGACAAAGCUGUCUUUUUUGUUGGAAUUGGGGAUGGGAGAGCAGCUCAAAGUGGGAAAUAUGGAGAAAGGAGAGACAUUGUGGAAAAGAAGAGAUAAAUUGAGGGGAAAAAAAGAGGAUGAAAAAAUGAAGAGAGAGAAUUACUGAUGUGCUUCACACCCACACCUCCUCUCCAACUUCACAGUAACAGAGGCAAUGUCACUAUCUUUUACCUGACAAGUGCUUUACCAGGGAGUUGUGCCUGGCAUCGUGGGAGUGGAAAAUUUUUCCCUUUUGCAUUUUGAGACUUGGGUGUGCUGCUUUAAGAUGCCACUGGUAUCUAAGUAAUGUUUGUUUAUACUGGAUAUUUUUCUCUGUAGCCUUUGUGGAUUGGACUUAUAAUAUAAACAAUAUUGUUAGCAGAACUGCAGGUACUCUAUUGCUAUGUUUAUUUUAUUAGUUAAAAAACUACCAGAGCCCUAGGACUUCUGAGCACAUUUAGAAAAUACCAGAGGCAAUUUUAAGACUAGCAUUAGAAAGAAAGAAAAGAAUAAGAAUAAAACUAAGACUUGCAUACCUUAGAAUCCUAACCAAUGUGGUGAUUUUUAAAAAUUAAUGUUUCAGAGACUCUAAAUUAGGGUAGUUGGUUUCAUCAAUUACAUUUUUUAAGUUAAUAUAAAGUGCUUUUGUAUGUAAAUUCUCUUAAUAGAUAAUUUAGGUAAAAUGAAAGUGUGGCAUUUUUUGUUCCAUAGAAUGUAAAACUAACGUCAGAAUAAGAAUUCUUUUGGGAAUUUAGGAUUUUUUUGAUGCUUCUCAAAUCAUCUGUAAUGACUUUUAUUUAUAGAAAAGGUAGAUUAUUCAUUAGUUUUUAUGAAAAACACUCAGUUUAAAUAGCCGGGUAUGGUGGCGCAUGGCUGUAGUCCCAGCUACUCAGGAGGCUGGGCACGAGAAUUGCUUGAACCUGUGAGGCAGAGGUUGCAGUGAGCCAAGAUCGCACCACUGCACUCCAGCCUGGUCCAGAGUGAGAUUCCGUCUCGAACAAAACAAAACAAAAAUAUUGAGCUAAUCUAAAUGGUAAAAAUCUAGAUUUGAAGAAAUUUAUUUUAAAAUAGUUGUUCAUUUGUCAAAUAGAAAAGUAUGAUCUUAGCAGGUUUGGUUAGAUCCCUAUCUGAAACAAAGUAAACUAAAGAUGUUUUUCUUGAUCAAUGCAUAGCAAUAACUGCUGUUCAAACAUGUGAGGAAUCACCAGUAAAUUGGGGGAUAGAAAGCAGGAAAAGGAGCUUUUUUCUCUUAUUUUUUUUCAUUUAUCAGUUUUUCCCAUUUGUCCAUCCUUUCCUAUAAUCAUGGAAAUUUUUAUUUUUUACACUCCUCUCCCCAUUUUUUUAUCCUAGAUUGCCACCACACCAAGGUUUUCUAGAGUUAGGCAGAAAGAGAACCUGGGCCUAGAUGCUAAUGGAAACUAUCCCAUGCUUUCUCAGACUCUCUUUCCUCCCCAGAGACAAGAGGAGCAAAACAGGAGUUGAUGGCUCAUUGCUGUUGCUUCUGUGGCUGCCCUGUUUGGUUGACCUGAGCUUUUUUUAAAAACCUCCACUCUUGACGCUUAACUCUAUGAAUAAAAUUAGGGCCAGUCACACUGUAUUUUCAUCAUCAGUUAUCCCUAGUGAUUCAAAUUUAGCACAAACCUGCUGUGAGUACAUAUUAAUUAGGUGAAUACAGUAGAAUGCAAUCAUAACAUGAGUCUUUUAAUAACUAUUCUUUGUUUGAUUUUUAUUUUAGAAGUUUGAAGUUAUUUUGUUGAAAAUCUAGAAAAUCUUUAUGUGAGCAACUGAGGUUCGGGUAGCCCACAACAGUUUAAAUCAAACAUUAACUUGCAGUAAAACACUACUGAAAGUGUCUUUGAUUUUGAGGUGCAGAGAGCUGUUUCAAGUUAAGUUGCUAUAUUAGUCUGUUCUCAUGCUGCUAAUAAAGACAUACCUGCAACCGGGCAAUUUAUUAAAAAAAAAAAGAGGUUUAAUUGACUGACAGUUCCACAUGGCUGGGGAGGCCUCACCGUCAUGGUGAAAGAGCAAGGGAUGUCUUACAUGGUGGCAGGCAAGAAGUUUGUGCAGAGGAACUCCUGUUUAUAAAACCACCAGAUCUCAUGAGACUUACUCACUACCAGGAGAACAGGAUGCGGGAAACCACCUCGGUGAUUCAGUUAUCUGCACCUGGCCCCACCCUUGACACAUGUUGAUUAUUACAAUUCAAGGUGAGAUUUGGGUAGGUACACAGCCAAACCAUAUCAGCUGCCCAUUCUCCUGUGCAGUGACAUAAAGGUCUGAUAACCUGAUUUAAAGCUUGGACUCUAAGAUUUUUUUUUUUCUUUUUUUGAGUCAGGUUAUCUCUGUCGCUCAAGCUGGAGUUCAGUGGCAUGAACAGGGCUCAUUGCAGCCUCAACCUUCCAGGUUCAAGUGAUUCUCUUGCCUCAACCUCCUGAGUAUCUGGGGCUACAGGCAUGUGCCACCGUGCCAGGCUAAUAUUUUUAUUUUUAUUUUUGUAAAGAUGGGGUCUCACUUCUGGGCUCAAGCAAUCUUUCCUCAGCCUCCCAAAGUGCUGGGAUUAUAGGUGCGAGCCACUGCACCCUGCUGUAAAGAAUUUCAUAUCCCUGUUUUCGGUGUGCUGUGUCACUGUUUGCCAUGGGUAAAGGUAUAUGAAUCUCUUUUAUUUUGCUGCUUGCAACCCAAUUCCCAUGCCAAACCCAAUUUGUAUCCAAACAAACAAUAUUGGAGACAAGUUCUUCUAUAGAAAGCUUCAUAAGCCAGUUACUGACUACUGUGUCUGUAAAUAUACUCAAACUAUUUUGUAGUCUUGCUAUUUUAAAAAAUGUGUGGGUGUGGGAAGUGAUGUUGAAUGAAUUCAGGGUAAUUGGUGGUUCUUUGUAUUAGGAAAACUCACUAGUUAAGGGAAGUCUGUUUUCAUGAUUCAUGUAUGUUUAACUUAAAAAAAAAUUCUUCCAUCCUUCUCUCCAGUUUCCACUCUACCUCAUAAAUUCAAGUAAUGAAGGAAUUUAAAUAAUAGAAUUUUAUAACUGAAAGGAUUUUGGAGAGAAUCUAUUAACCCUCCUACUACAGUUGAGGAAAUAGAUGUCCAGUGAGGUCAAAUGAGAUCAUGUAGCUAGUUUAAAAACCCAAAUAACAUUUUAGUAGUUUGUUUCCAUUAGUAAACACUGUUCUGUUUGAUUUGCCCUAACAUGUUCAUAAUCAGAGUCAUAAUAAGGAAAAAUCACUAAUAUGUGUGUGGUACUUUCUUGUGCAUACCUCAGUCACUUCUCAAAAGAGGUCUGUAAGGUGUCGGUAUCCUGGUUUCCAUUCAGGGAGAGAACAGUCUAUGAGCCUAAGAGACCUGUCUGUGCCAGUCACUAUCAGAACAGUCUAAUGCUAUGUGUCUUCCUACCUUGGCAAAAGCAUUGGCUGGUCUCUGGACAGUUCUCAUAGACCACAGGAUUGGGCAGGGGGGAGCCACAUCUUCAUGUUAGGGCUCUAACCUGUACCAAUUAUUAACUGUUGUCUCUAUUUCAUCAUUUCUUAAAGGGAAAAAAAAGCACUUUUUAAAGAGCAUGAGAUUUUAAAUUUUUCAAAAGAAGGAUGCUGGAUCAUUAUAAGUAAGGCAUGUUUUAAAGAUCUUCUUAUCAACAGCUUAAAAAUUAGCCAGUAUAUACUGAACAUCCACUGUAUAAAAAGCACAUUAUGGGGUGCUCCAGUAGGUACAGCAGUGAUCGAGACAGAAUCAUAGCCUUCAGGGAAGAGGUAUAUGCAAUGUUCUCUCCUUCCAAAGAUUACCUAGAUAGAGAACUGUUCAUAAGAAAUAUCUUGGUACUGUCUACAUUACUCUUGAGAUAUAAAAUAUAUAUUAUUUCUUACGUCUGAAAUGAGUCAGUUGUUUCUAAAACAAUUUGUAUUAAAGUAUUCACAUUAAAAAUUUGUAAAAUACAGAAAAGUAGAGAGAAAAAAUCAUGAAUUUUUAACAUGGUAAUGAUUAUAUCAGUUUCGUUCUUGGCGUUUCUUUAACUUGAUGGGAUAGCUAAUGUUUUUUGUCAUUGCAUAGCUUUGUAAACUUGUCCUAAGGAUUAUAUAAUUUCAGCAUGAGUUAGUUUCUAAGUAUGUCAGAAAUCUAGCUUUUUUGUGGUAAUUGUUGUUUUACACAAAAUGAUUAAUAAAAGACUCUAAACUAACCUUGGCUUUAGAAAUGCUUUUUAAAUUUUAAAAUAGUGAAUGAGUAGCAGAUUACUUUCUAGUAUUUCUUUAAGGUCACCAAAAUCACUUAACUUGCUUAAAAUAUUGAUGGAAAUAUCAACUACGUACAGUUGACCUAAAUUAGAAAUGGGUGUUUUUUAAAUAGUGAAAUUUAUAAAUAUAAUAUGUAUAUUUUAAAAUACAGUUUAUAUUAUAGAGUUAUGUUCCUCUGUAAUAAUUUCUCUUUACACUGAAUCAUGUUCAGUUUUUAUUAUGCAGAUAAUUUAAUCUUACAGCUUUGAUCUUUUUUAAAAAAUAAAACAGCCAUUUGGAGUCUAAA
RNAcentral lists this long non-coding RNA (9449 nucleotides) under Homo sapiens (human). Its description in RNAcentral is "non-protein coding LINC00472:9". Lineage: Eukaryota; Metazoa; Chordata; Mammalia; Primates; Hominidae. The record is from RNAcentral.